RNAcentral lists this ribosomal RNA (795 nucleotides) under uncultured bacterium. RNAcentral describes it as "bacterial SSU rRNA". It matches the Rfam family "Bacterial small subunit ribosomal RNA", at positions 8 to 796 of the family's 1533-position model. The record is from RNAcentral.
AGAGUUUGAUCCUGGCUCAGAUUGAACGCUGGCGGCGUGCCUAACACAUGCAAGUCGAGCGGUAACAGGUGUAGCAAUACAUGCUGACGAGCGGCGAACGGGUGAGUAAUGCUUUGGAAUCUUCCCAGUAGUGGGGAAUAACCAGUCGAAAGAUUGGCUAAUACCGCAUACGUCUGUAAAGGGAAAGCGGGGGCUCGUAAGACCUCGCGCUAUUGGAUGAGCCAAAGUCGGAUUAGCUAGUUGGUGGGGUAAUGGCCUACCAAGGCGACAAUCCGUAGCUGGUCUGAGAGGACGACCAGCCACACCGGAACUGAGACACGGUCCGGACUCCUACGGGAGGCAGCAGUGGGGAAUAUUGGACAAUGGGGGAAACCCUGAUCCAGCGACGCCGCGUGUGUGAAGAAGGCCUGCGGGUUGUAAAGCACUUUUAGUGGGGACAAAAAGCUACGGACUAAUACUCUGUGGUCUUGAUUUAACCCAAAGAAAAAGCACCGGCUAACUCUGUGCCAGCAGCCGCGGUAAUACAGAGGGUGCGAGCGUUAAUCGGAAUUACUGGGCGUAAAGCGCGCGUAGACGGUUUUGUAAGUCAGAUGUGAAAUCCCUGGGCUCAACCUGGGAACUGCAUUUGAGACUGCAUGGCUAGAGUAUCGAAGAGGGAAGUGGAAUUUCCGGUGUAGCGGUGAAAUGCGUAGAUAUCGGAAGGAACACCAGUGGCGAAAGCGACUUCCUGGUCGAAUACUGACGUUCAUGUGCGAAAGCGUGGGGAGCAAACAGGAUUAGAUACCCUUGUAGUCC